Molecule: microRNA precursor, 61 nt
Filed under: Gorilla gorilla gorilla (western lowland gorilla)
Lineage: Eukaryota; Metazoa; Chordata; Mammalia; Primates; Hominidae
Description: mir-1285 microRNA precursor family
Rfam family: mir-1285 microRNA precursor family
Source: Rfam by way of RNAcentral
CAGGAGGCUCGCUUGAGCCCAGGAGUUUGAGACCAGCCUGGGCAACAAAGUGAGACCUCAU